Molecule: ribosomal RNA, 433 nt
Filed under: uncultured bacterium
Lineage: Bacteria
Description: partial 16S ribosomal RNA
Rfam family: Bacterial small subunit ribosomal RNA
Source: RNAcentral
AACGAACGCUGGCGGCAGGCCUAACACAUGCAAGUCGAGCGAGCAUUUCGGUGCUAGCGGCGGACGGGUGAGUAACGCGUGGGAACGUGCCCUUUUCUGCGGAAUAGUCCUGGGAAACUGGGGGUAAUACCGCAUACGCCCUUUUGGGGAAAGGUUUAUCGGAGAAGGAUCGGCCCGCGUUGGAUUAGGUAGUUGGUGGGGUAAUGGCCCACCAAGCCGACGAUCCAUAGCUGGUUUGAGAGGAUGAUCAGCCACACUGGGACUGAGACACGGCCCAGACUCCUACGGGAGGCAGCAGUGGGGAAUCUUAGACAAUGGGGGCAACCCUGAUCUAGCCAUGCCGCGUGAGUGAUGAAGGCCUUAGGGUUGUAAAGCUCUUUCAGCUGGGAAGAUAAUGACGGUACCAGCAGAAGAAGCCCCGGCUAACUCCGUG